AUUGAACGCUGGCGGCAGGCCUAACACAUGCAAGUCGAGCGGAUGAAGGGAGCUUGCUCCUGGAUUCAGCGGCGGACGGGUGAGUAAUGCCUAGGAAUCUGCCUGGGAGUGGGGGAUAACGUCCGGAAACGGGCGCUAAUACCGUAUACGUCCUGAGGGAGAAAGUGGGGGAUCUUCGGAUCUCACGCUAUCAGAUGAGCCUAGGUCGGAUUAGCUAGUUGGUGGGGUAAAGGCCUACCAAGGCGACGAUCCGUAACUGGUCUGAGAGGAUGAUCAGUCACACUGGAACUGAGACACGGUCCAGACUCCUACGGGAGGCAGCAGUGGGGAAUAUUGGACAAUGGGCGAAAGCCUGAUCCAGCCAUGCCGCGUGUGUGAAGAAGGUCUUCGGAUUGUAAAGCACUUUAAGUUGGGAGGAAGAGCAGUAAGUUAAUACCUUGCUGUUUUGACGUUACCAACAGAAUAAGCACCGGCUAACUUCGUG
Molecule: ribosomal RNA, 484 nt
Filed under: uncultured bacterium
Lineage: Bacteria
Description: partial 16S ribosomal RNA
Rfam family: Bacterial small subunit ribosomal RNA
Source: RNAcentral